UCGGACAUCAUCCAGCGGCUGUGGAAGGACUCCGGUAUCCAGGCCUGUUUUGAGCGCGCCUCGGAGUACCAGCUCAACGACUCGGCGGGCUACUACCUCUCCGACCUGGAGCGCCUGGUAACCCCGGGCUACGUGCCCACCGAGCAGGACGUGUUGCGCUCGCGAGUCAAGACCACUGGCAUCAUCGAGACGCAGUUCUCCUUCAAAGACCUCAACUUCCGGAUCCCGCGGCCCCGCAGGAUGUUCGAUGUGGGCGGUCAGCGCUCGGAGCGCAAGAAGUGGAUCCACUGCUUCGAGGGCGUGACCUGCAUCAUCUUCAUCGCGGCGCUG
Molecule: small RNA, 330 nt
Filed under: Pongo abelii (Sumatran orangutan)
Lineage: Eukaryota; Metazoa; Chordata; Mammalia; Primates; Hominidae
Description: processed transcript
Source: RNAcentral